Molecule: long non-coding RNA, 1606 nt
Organism: Gallus gallus (chicken)
Lineage: Eukaryota; Metazoa; Chordata; Aves; Galliformes; Phasianidae
Source: Ensembl
AUCUUUGGAUCCCUGUCUACCUGAGGCCUUCUGAGGGUAAGAUCUCCAUAAAGAGAGCAUCACACAGCAAGGCAGUGGAGAAGUCUGCUCCAAAAUCAAGAGGUGCCUAUUGAACAGCAGCUUCUGAGAAGCCCUGGAGAUCCAUUGACCUUAGUCUGGGUGCCAGUGUGUCAUCCGCAGCCCAAGGAAACUGCAGAAGAUGAGGAAGAAGGAUGGGACAGCCUUUUGGGGAUGGGGCUCCUGCUCUUCAGUCAGGGCCCUGCAGCUGCUGGGAAGCACUCAGCUGCUCUCCUCCUGCUUCAUCACAGCAACGGGAUUCCAGCAGAAGGGGAUAAAUGAAGACAAGUGGCUGACUCAGGCAUUCUGAAAUUAGCACCGAAGCUUUCUGUUGUAGCCCAUCAUUACUCUGUGGACUUGGGAAGCAAGUAAAAAAAAAAAAAAAUUGAAGUAUUAACUGAAGAUGCCAUUGUAACAAAGUGUUCUGUUAUAAGGGCUAAAAAACAGCUUAUUUUUAUUGGCCCUUGCAUGUUUUUAUUUUGCUACUCAUUUCUUGUUAUACAAGGCAUAGCUCUCCAGAGAGGGAGAAAAUAGACAUAUGGAGAACCUACCGACCUGUAUCUGCUGUUUAGACUUUGUACACGUGUUACUCUGCUACAUGGAUUUGUUAUACAGUAAUAAAUAAUAUAAUAAUAUCUUAGAUUUAUAUAGCACCUUCUUAUUCCCAAAGAUUCCAAAGCACUUUGGAAACAGCAGGACUUAAUUGUCUUCUCGCUUUGCUUUUAUGCACUCUUGACUUCAGGGGAAUUACUCCUGAUUUACACUAAAAAUAUACAGGAAUUGGUUAUCUUCCCUCUGGAGCAUGGCUAAGAGGAAUCAUAGCAAUUAUGAAAGAUCACUUAGAAGCAUCAUAAGCCAUUUAGGACAAAGAAUGAGAGCAAAAUUAUUUGGCUUAGCAGAACAAAGUGCAAUAGGAAAGCAGAAUGCAAUAAGGCACAACUGGAACUUGGUUCAGAGCCCAUGGCUCAGAACCAUUUUGUUCCAAGUUGGUCACUUUGAACAUGAGAUCUCCUAGAGUCUUAAGUGGCCAGCUUUGGGGUGAUAUGGGAGAGAGAUCACUUUGGACACAAUACUGGAAUAUCAGUGUGGUGCUUUCAUUUGCUCCCAGUUGUCCUCUUGCCCUCGUGGGGGCUUCGCUGCCCACCUUGUGGGGGUGAUGCAUAGCUGAGGUUUGAGAUGCAUAAAGUUCACUUCUAGAAAAAGUAAGUCCCUGUGAAGCAGUCUUUGGAAACAAUACUGCAGUUUUUUGUUCAUCUAUAAAGCGUGUGUGAUAUACAGUGCGUAGCAGGGAGAUUGGUGUCCUAUAAAGAACGGCGGUAUGUAUUGCAGCACAGAGAGCAGUGUCCUCAGCUGGCAACUGAACAUUUUUUUUUAUUCAGAACACACACAAAAAAAAAAAUAAAGCAGAUUUCCAUUUUUGCAAAAGCUGAUGCUUUAAAAAUCUGUGCCAAACUAUUCAAUUGAUGCAGAAUUAUUCAUUAGAAAAGAAAUCAGAAUAUUCUGAUGUUCUAAAAUGCUUUACUGUUUUGAACUUUCCCUCAAAGUGAUU